AUCAUAACUUGCACUUUAAAAAGUGCACCUGCUGGCAUCGGCUCAUUGACAGUCAUAACGCUGAAAUGCGCCUCAACUUGAACUAAUUUGUGCGCAAUUUGCGCGAAGAAAGGCGUCGGAAACACCAAAGGCAGAGCGAAGAGAGAGGGCCAUACAGAUAUAGCCAAUGAAUGGGGAAAGAGAGACGGGAAGACCCUUGGUGAAAGAGACGGCAGUUGCAGCCAACUAAUUUUGCUUCCUUUUCCCCGAAUGGUUGGAAAAAAGUGAUGGUGGCA
Drosophila gunungcola (fruit fly) is the source of this 275-nucleotide long non-coding RNA. RefSeq lists it as uncharacterized. The record is from RefSeq and is a predicted model, not a curated record. Lineage: Eukaryota; Metazoa; Arthropoda; Insecta; Diptera; Drosophilidae. The transcript has 3 exons.